This is a long non-coding RNA of Symphalangus syndactylus (siamang), 230 nucleotides long. RefSeq lists it as uncharacterized. NCBI's taxonomy places the organism in Eukaryota, Metazoa, Chordata, Mammalia, Primates, Hylobatidae. The record is from RefSeq and is a predicted model, not a curated record.
GCAACUGGAGACCUGCAGGCACCUAAAGGCAAGAGAUCAAGGAAGAGGAACACGAUAAAAUGCUUAUGGCUUCAAGAAGAAAUAGGAGACGUGUAACCAAUAAAAGUAUGAUGAAUUCUGCUGCCUCUGCAGAAUACAAUCAGGACGUUAAGAGAGGACAGUGAAUCAGGAAAUGAAAUACAAGGGAGGCAUUUGGAACUUUUCCAGUUUCGUUAUAUUAUGAAGCAAGG